AGUGAACGCUGGCGGUAGGCCUAACACAUGCCAGUCGAACGGCAGCACAGUAAGAGCUUGCUCUUACGGGUGGCGAGUGGCGGACGGGUGAGGAAUACAUCGGAAUCUACUUUUUCGUGGGGGAUAACGUAGGGAAACUUACGCUAAUACCGCAUACGACCUACGGGUGAAAGCAGGGGAUCUUCGGACCUUGCGCGAUUGAAUGAGCCGAUGUCGGAUUAGCUAGUUGGCGGGGUAAAGGCCCACCAAGGCGACGAUCCGUAGCUGGUCUGAGAGGAUGAUCAGCCACACUGGAACUGAGACACGGACAAGACUCCUACGGGAGGCAGCAGUGGGGAAUAUUGGACAAUGGGCGCAAGCCUGAUCCAGCCAUACCGCGUGGGUGAAGAAGGCCUUCGGGUUGUAAAGACCUUUUGUUGGGAAAGAAAAGCAGCAGGUUAAUACCCCGCUGUUCUGACGGUACCCAAAGAAUAAGCACCGGCUAACUUCGUG
This 492-nucleotide ribosomal RNA is filed under the name uncultured bacterium. RNAcentral's name for it is "partial 16S ribosomal RNA". It matches the Rfam family "Bacterial small subunit ribosomal RNA", at positions 29 to 507 of the family's 1533-position model. The record is from RNAcentral.